GCGGUCGCCGCGCUGAGUCUCGGACCGGUUCACCGGCCCGGGAGCCGGGGAACCAUCGGUGGUUCGGGCCACCUGGGGUGAAUCGCCUCUCGAGGCGUAGGGCAAAUGUCGUGCCCGAACCCGUCAGCUCACCCGGUAGGCGUACGACGUACAAGGA
This 157-nucleotide small RNA is filed under the name Nocardioides sp. Its description in RNAcentral is "c-di-AMP sequence". It matches the Rfam family "c-di-AMP riboswitch aptamer (ydaO/yuaA leader)". Rfam says of the family: This family represents a conserved RNA structure found upstream of the ydaO and yuaA genes in Bacillus subtilis and related genes in other bacteria. RNAcentral also lists the same sequence under 1 other name. Lineage: Bacteria; Bacillati; Actinomycetota; Actinomycetes; Propionibacteriales; Nocardioidaceae. The record is from RNAcentral.